AGCGUACACGGUGGAUGCCCUGGCAGUCAGAGGCGAUGAAGGACGUGCUAAUCUGCGAUAAGCGUCGGUAAGGUGAUAUGAACCGUUAUAACCGGCGAUUUCCGAAUGGGGAAACCCAGUGUGUUUCGACACACUAUCAUUAACUGAAUCCAUAGGUUAAUGAGGCGAACCGGGGGAACUGAAACAUCUAAGUACCCCGAGGAAAAGAAAUCAACCGAGAUUCCCCCAGUAGCGGCGAGCGAACGGGGAGCAGCCCAGAGCCUGAAUCAGUGUGUGUGUUAGUGGAAGCGUCUGGAAAGGCGCGCGAUACAGGGUGACAGCCCCGUACACAAAAAUGCACAUACUGUGAGCUCGAUGAGUAGGGCGGGACACGUGGUAUCCUGUCUGAAUAUGGGGGGACCAUCCUCCAAGGCUAAAUACUCCUGACUGACCGAUAGUGAACCAGUACCGUGAGGGAAAGGCGAAAAGAACCCCGGCGAGGGGAGUGAAAAAGAACCUGAAACCGUGUACGUACAAGCAGUGGGAGCCUCUUAAUGGGGUGACUGCGUACCUUUUGUAUAAUGGGUCAGCGACUUAUAUUCUGUAGCAAGGUUAACCGAAUAGGGGAGCCGAAGGGAAACCGAGUCUUAACUGGGCGUUAAGUUGCAGGGUAUAGACCCGAAACCCGGUGAUCUAGCCAUGGGCAGGUUGAAGGUUGGGUAACACUAACUGGAGGACCGAACCGACUAAUGUUGAAAAAUUAGCGGAUGACUUGUGGCUGGGGGUGAAAGGCCAAUCAAACCGGGAGAUAGCUGGUUCUCCCCGAAAGCUAUUUAGGUAGCGCCUCGUGAAUUCAUCUCCGGGGGUAGAGCACUGUUUCGGCAAGGGGGUCAUCCCGACUUACCAACCCGAUGCAAACUGCGAAUACCGGAGAAUGUUAUCACGGGAGACACACGGCGGGUGCUAACGUCCGUCGUGAAGAGGGAAACAACCCAGACCGCCAGCUAAGGUCCCAAAGUCAUGGUUAAGUGGGAAACGAUGUGGGAAGGCCCAGACAGCCAGGAUGUUGGCUUAGAAGCAGCCAUCAUUUAAAGAAAGCGUAAUAGCUCACUGGUCGAGUCGGCCUGCGCGGAAGAUGUAACGGGGCUAAACCAUGCACCGAAGCUGCGGCAGCGACACUAUGUGUUGUUGGGUAGGGGAGCGUUCUGUAAGCCUGUGAAGGUGUACUGUGAGGUAUGCUGGAGGUAUCAGAAGUGCGAAUGCUGACAUAAGUAACGAUAAAGCGGGUGAAAAGCCCGCUCGCCGGAAGACCAAGGGUUCCUGUCCAACGUUAAUCGGGGCAGGGUGAGUCGACCCCUAAGGCGAGGCCGAAAGGCGUAGUCGAUGGGAAACAGGUUAAUAUUCCUGUACUUGGUGUUACUGCGAAGGGGGGACGGAGAAGGCUAUGUUGGCCGGGCGACGGUUGUCCCGGUUUAAGCGUGUAGGCUGGUUUUCCAGGCAAAUCCGGAAAAUCAAGGCUGAGGCGUGAUGACGAGGCACUACGGUGCUGAAGCAACAAAUGCCCUGCUUCCAGGAAAAGCCUCUAAGCAUCAGGUAACAUCAAAUCGUACCCCAAACCGACACAGGUGGUCAGGUAGAGAAUACCAAGGCGCUUGAGAGAACUCGGGUGAAGGAACUAGGCAAAAUGGUGCCGUAACUUCGGGAGAAGGCACGCUGAUAUGUAGGUGAAGUCCCUUGCGGAUGGAGCUGAAAUCAGUCGAAGAUACCAGCUGGCUGCAACUGUUUAUUAAAAACACAGCACUGUGCAAACACGAAAGUGGACGUAUACGGUGUGACGCCUGCCCGGUGCCGGAAGGUUAAUUGAUGGGGUUAGCGGUAACGCGAAGCUCUUGAUCGAAGCCCCGGUAAACGGCGGCCGUAACUAUAACGGUCCUAAGGUAGCGAAAUUCCUUGUCGGGUAAGUUCCGACCUGCACGAAUGGCGUAAUGAUGGCCAGGCUGUCUCCACCCGAGACUCAGUGAAAUUGAACUCGCUGUGAAGAUGCAGUGUACCCGCGGCAAGACGGAAAGACCCCGUGAACCUUUACUAUAGCUUGACACUGAACAUUGAGCCUUGAUGUGUAGGAUAGGUGGGAGGCUUUGAAGUGUGGACGCCAGUCUGCAUGGAGCCGGCCUUGAAAUACCACCCUUUAAUGUUUGAUGUUCUAACGUUGGCCCCUGAUCGGGGUUGCGGACAGUGUCUGGUGGGUAGUUUGACUGGGGCGGUCUCCUCCUAAAGAGUAACGGAGGAGCACGAAGGUUGGCUAAUCCUGGUCGGACAUCAGGAGGUUAGUGCAAUGGCAUAAGCCAGCUUGACUGCGAGCGUGACGGCGCGAGCAGGUGCGAAAGCAGGUCAUAGUGAUCCGGUGGUUCUGAAUGGAAGGGCCAUCGCUCAACGGAUAAAAGGUACUCCGGGGAUAACAGGCUGAUACCGCCCAAGAGUUCAUAUCGACGGCGGUGUUUGGCACCUCGAUGUCGGCUCAUCACAUCCUGGGGCUGAAGUAGGUCCCAAGGGUAUGGCUGUUCGCCAUUUAAAGUGGUACGCGAGCUGGGUUUAGAACGUCGUGAGACAGUUCGGUCCCUAUCUGCCGUGGGCGCUGGAGAACUGAGGGGGGCUGCUCCUAGUACGAGAGGACCGGAGUGGACGCAUCACUGGUGUUCGGGUUGUCAUGCCAAUGGCACUGCCCGGUAGCUAAAUGCGGAAGAGAUAAGUGCUGAAAGCAUCUAAGCACGAAACUUGCCCCGAGAUGAGUUCUCCCUGACUCCUUGAGAGUCCUGAAGGAACGUUGAAGACGACGACGUUGAUAGGCCGGGUGUGUAAGCGCAGCGAUGCGUUGAGCUAACCGGUACUAAUGAACCGUGAGGCUUAACC
Molecule: ribosomal RNA, 2889 nt
Filed under: human gut metagenome
Description: bacterial LSU rRNA
Rfam family: Bacterial large subunit ribosomal RNA
Source: RNAcentral